GCCAGGCACGGUGAUGUAUGCCUGUAAUCCUAGCACCUUGGGAGGCCGAGGCGGGAGAAUCACUUGAGCCCAGGCGCUCCAGGCUGCAGUGAGCUAUGAUCACACCACUGCACUCCAGCCUGGGUAACAGAGUGAGACCCUGACUCUA
RNAcentral lists this non-coding RNA (148 nucleotides) under Nomascus leucogenys (northern white-cheeked gibbon). The record is from Rfam by way of RNAcentral. Lineage: Eukaryota; Metazoa; Chordata; Mammalia; Primates; Hylobatidae.